Molecule: ribosomal RNA, 403 nt
Filed under: uncultured bacterium
Lineage: Bacteria
Description: bacterial SSU rRNA
Rfam family: Bacterial small subunit ribosomal RNA
Source: RNAcentral
UGGGGAAUAUUGGACAAUGGGCGCAAGCCUGAUCCAGCCAUGCCGCGUGAGUGAUGAAGGCCCUAGGGUUGUAAAGCUCUUUUACCCGGGAAGAUAAUGACUGUACCGGGAGAAUAAGCCCCGGCUAACUUCGUGCCAGCAGCCGCGGUAAUACGAAGGGGGCUAGCGUUGUUCGGAAUCACUGGGCGUAAAGCGCACGUAGGCGGAUUUUUAAGUCAGGGGUGAAAUCCCGGGGCUCAACCUCGGAACUGCCUUUGAUACUGGAGAUCUUGAGUCCGGAAGAGGUAAGUGGAACUGCGAGUGUAGAGGUGAAAUUCGUAGAUAUUCGCAAGAACACCAGUGGCGAAGGCGGCUUACUGGUCCGGAACUGACGCUGAGGUGCGAAAGCGUGGGGAGCAAACAG